CAGCAGCCACGGUAAUACGUAGGUGGCAAGCGUUGUCCGGAAUUAUUGGGCGUAAAGGGCUCGCAGGCGGUUUCUUAAGUCUGAUGUGAAAGCCCCCGGCUCAACCGGGGAGGGUCAUUGGAAACUGGGAAACUUGAGUGCAGAAGAGGAGAGUGGAAUUCCACGUGUAGCGGUGAAAUGCGUAGAGAUGUGGAGGAACACCAGUGGCGAAGACGACUCUCUGGUCUGUAACUGACGCUGAGGAGCGAAAGCGUGGGGAGCGAACAGGAUUAGAUACCCCCGUAGUCCCUGUCUCUUAUAC
This 301-nucleotide ribosomal RNA is filed under the name uncultured bacterium. Its description in RNAcentral is "partial 16S ribosomal RNA". It matches the Rfam family "Bacterial small subunit ribosomal RNA", at positions 509 to 807 of the family's 1533-position model. The record is from RNAcentral.